This 250-nucleotide ribosomal RNA is filed under the name uncultured bacterium. Its description in RNAcentral is "partial 16S ribosomal RNA". It matches the Rfam family "Bacterial small subunit ribosomal RNA", at positions 524 to 773 of the family's 1533-position model. The record is from RNAcentral.
UACGGAGGGUGCGAGCGUUGUUCGGAUUUAUUGGGCGUAAAGCGCGUGUAGGCGGUUUGGUAAGUCUGAUGUGAAAGCCCCGGGCUCAACCUGGGAAGUGCAUUGGAUACUGUCAGACUUGAAUACGGGAGAGGGAAGUGGAAUUCCGAGUGUAGGAGUGAAAUCCGUAGAUAUUCGGAGGAACACCGGUGGCGAAGGCGGCUUCCUGGACCGAUAUUGACGCUGAGACGCGAAAGCGUGGGUAGCAAAC